GACAGAGGAGGCAAGCGUUGUCCGGAUUGACUGGGCGUAAAGCGUCCGCAGGUGGUCGCGCAAGUGCGCUGUGAAAGCGGCCCGCUCAACGGGCCGAGGCCAGCGCAGACUGCGCAACUCGAGGUCGGGAGAGGUCGGUGGAAUUGCCGGUGCAGUGGUGAAAUGCGUAGAGAUCGGCAGGAACACCCAAGGGGAAGCCAGCCGACUGGCCCGCACCUGACACUCAGGGACGACAGCGUGGGGAGCGAACCGG
RNAcentral lists this ribosomal RNA (253 nucleotides) under uncultured bacterium. Its description in RNAcentral is "partial 16S ribosomal RNA". It matches the Rfam family "Bacterial small subunit ribosomal RNA", at positions 524 to 776 of the family's 1533-position model. The record is from RNAcentral.